GGGAUUGUAGUCCGGCCGCCCUGUGACUAACGGCUGGAACCGCCUAAGACACCACCCCAGCCAGCAUGGCCGGCAGGAGCGCACCGCGCUGUCUCCCUCCAGGGAUCCGCACCGCCCUACAAUCCUGCUUUGUGCUGAGAUUGUAGUCCUGCAGGCGUACAACUAACAAGCUGGGUGCAGAUAAGAGACUACAGCUCCCCGCAUCCCAAGCAAAGGUCCCUCCUCUACGGAGCCCCUCCACGCGUCCACUGCGGUUCCGCCGUGCCAAGGGGAGCUUGGCUGUUCACGGGCCUCACCUGCUAGCGAGAAGAUAGCUUGGCCGGGCGGCUGAUCUCACCUUGUAAUUCUGACACUGUGUCUCCCGGGCUUGUCGGCUUCAUGACUUGUGCCCAAAGUUUGAUUUCUCGCAGACCAGGAGGACCCAUUGGACCCCCGGGCUGGCUGCAGGGCCCACACCUGGGUUAGACCUCGCACAGGGACGCUGCUGCCACUGUAAUAAAGCGUGCCUACACGCUUCUGAAACUGGUGUAGGAACAACCUCAGUUCUGUGAAAGGCGGACGCAGCAGGACAGAAUCUCCGUGGACAUCUGUCUGGAGGAGCAAUUUUACUGCGACAUUUUAAAGAAACAAAUUUAAUUGAUUUCCAAGGGUGUCCAUCGCGCUUCCUUCACUGCCUUGAUCAUGUCGGGGUCACCACCUGCGGGGGUUUGUCCUGCAGACCCUGACUCAACGACGGAUGAAUAAUGUACACUGACACAGAUCUUAUGCUUGUCAGUCCUGCUGAGCAUCCAGGCCACUUACAGACUCCAAGAAGAGUCCUGUCAGCCACGGCUCUGACUUGUUGGCCCUCCCGGCAUUUAUUUAGCACACAUUUAAUGACAGAAGUCUCAGGCUGGAAACACUCUUUUUGUAGAACAUACAAAUGGACAUUUCUAAGCACAUUGAGGCCUAUAAUGAAAAAUCAAAUAUCCCACAAUGAAAACUAGAAGGAAGCUAUCUGUGAUAAUGCUUUGUGGUGUAUGGAUUCAUCUCACUGACUGAAACCUGAGUUUUGAUUCACCAGGCUGGAAACACUGUUUUCGUAGAACCUACAAAAAGACAUUGGGGAGCCCACUGAGUCUUACAGUGAUAAACCAAGGAUCCUGUGAUAAAACUAGAAACAAGCUAUCUGUGAAAAUGCUUUGCAGUUGGUGAAUUUCUUUCAUAGUUAAACCUUUUUUUAUUCAAUACGUUGGAAACACCAUUUUUUAGUGUCUCUAAAGGGACUUUUUCAGCCCUUUGAAACCUAUAGUGAAAAACCAAAUAUCUUGCAAUAAAAACAAAUAAACAAAAAAGAACUACUUAUGAAAA
This 1350-nucleotide long non-coding RNA is filed under the name Homo sapiens (human). RNAcentral describes it as "long intergenic non-protein coding RNA 662". The record is from RNAcentral. Lineage: Eukaryota; Metazoa; Chordata; Mammalia; Primates; Hominidae.